RNAcentral lists this ribosomal RNA (254 nucleotides) under uncultured bacterium. RNAcentral's name for it is "partial 16S ribosomal RNA". It matches the Rfam family "Bacterial small subunit ribosomal RNA", at positions 524 to 776 of the family's 1533-position model. The record is from RNAcentral.
UACGAGGGGGGGCAAGCGUUGUUCGGAAUUAUUGGGCGUAAAGGGCGCGUAGGCGGUGCGGUAAGACUGUGGUGAAAUCUUCGGGCUCAACUCGAAGCCUGCCGCGGUGACUGCCGUGCUCGAGUGUGGGAGAGGUGAGUGGAAUUCCCGGUGUAGCGGUGAAAUGCGUAGAUAUCAGGAGGAACACCGGUGGUGUAGACGGCUCUCUGGACCGUAACUGACGCUGAGACACGAAAGCGUGGGUAGCAAACAGG